UACAGAGGGGGCAAGCGUUGUUCGGAAUUACUGGGCGUAAAGGGCGCGUAGGCGGCCACCGCAAGUCGACUGUGAAAUCUCCGGGCUUAACCCGGAAAGGUCAGCCGAUACUGCGGGGCUAGAGUGCAGAAGGGGCAACUGGAAUUCUCGGUGUAGCGGUGAAAUGCGUAGAUAUCGAGAGGAACACCUGCGGCGAAGGCGGGUUGCUGGGCUGACACUGACGCUGAUGCGCGAAAGCUAGGGGAGCGAACGGG
This 254-nucleotide ribosomal RNA is filed under the name uncultured bacterium. RNAcentral describes it as "partial 16S ribosomal RNA". It matches the Rfam family "Bacterial small subunit ribosomal RNA", at positions 524 to 776 of the family's 1533-position model. The record is from RNAcentral.